RNAcentral lists this ribosomal RNA (515 nucleotides) under Staphylococcus aureus. RNAcentral describes it as "partial 23S ribosomal RNA". It matches the Rfam family "Bacterial large subunit ribosomal RNA", at positions 1457 to 1969 of the family's 2925-position model. Lineage: Bacteria; Bacillati; Bacillota; Bacilli; Caryophanales; Staphylococcaceae. The record is from RNAcentral.
UUAAUCGAUGGGGGGACGCAGUAGGAUAGGCGAAGCGUGCGAUUGGAUUGCACGUCUAAGCAGUAAGGCUGAGUAUUAGGCAAAUCCGGUACUCGUUAAGGCUGAGCUGUGAUGGGGAGAAGACAUUGUGUCUUCGAGUCGUUGAUUUCACACUGCCGAGAAAAGCCUCUAGAUAGAAAAUAGGUGCCCGUACCGCAAACCGACACAGGUAGUCAAGAUGAGAAUUCUAAGGUGAGCGAGCGAACUCUCGUUAAGGAACUCGGCAAAAUGACCCCGUAACUUCGGGAGAAGGGGUGCUCUUUAGGGUUAACGCCCAGAAGAGCCGCAGUGAAUAGGCCCAAGCGACUGUUUAUCAAAAACACAGGUCUCUGCUAAACCGUAAGGUGAUGUAUAGGGGCUGACGCCUGCCCGGUGCUGGAAGGUUAAGAGGAGUGGUUAGCUUCUGCGAAGCUACGAAUCGAAGCCCCAGUAAACGGCGGCCGUAACUAUAACGGUCCUAAGGUAGCGAAAUUCCU